ACUAGAAAAUCUUGAAAGUUCCAACAUAACAACACCCGAGCUUUCGGUUCUCCAUCUCGUUAUUUAAUGACCGAUUCAUCGGAAAAACCCUCAGAUAUCAAAAAGAAACCUAAAAGAACUGUUACUGAUGGCGGAUAAACACAAUCCAACACAGAUCCCAUCACCAUUAUCUGAGAGGUUAUAUCUUCUUGGAUAGACAUAAACGGUUCAAGAUAAAAAUGAUGAACCAGAAACCCUAAGCGAAAAGAUAACAAGGUUUAAUUGGAGAGACAGUAUGCAAAGAAGAAGCAAACCUGAGAAGAACAAUGUUUAAGGCGUUUAUUUUUAAGAUCGCCGAGCACUCGAGAAGAAUCAAUCAGAUAAGCAAGAGAAGUAUUGCGCAAAUCAGAAAGCAAUAGAGAAAAAUUGAUCAGAAAGCAAUAGGGCUAUUUUGAGAGAGAGGGAGGGAGGAUGUCAGUUCAGAGUGGCGGAGAAGCAGAAGCUUAUAUAACGUUCGAGUCCGCUUUCGUGUUUGGAAAGUCAAAUUG
This 527-nucleotide long non-coding RNA is filed under the name Carica papaya (papaya). Its description in RNAcentral is "long non-coding RNA (CPAP_LNC014435)". The record is from RNAcentral. Lineage: Eukaryota; Viridiplantae; Streptophyta; Magnoliopsida; Brassicales; Caricaceae.